CCCUUAGACGUUCUGGGCCGCACGCGCGCUACACUGAACAGUUCAACAAGUCUUAACCUUGGCCGAUAGGUCUGGGUAAUCUUUGAACGCUGUUCGUGAUUGGGAUAGACCUUUGCAAUUAUGGGUCUUCAACGAGGAAUUCCUAGUAAACGCAAGUCAUCAGCUUGCAUUGAUUACGUCCCUGCCCUUUGUACACACCGCCCGUCGCACCUACCGAUUGAAUGGUCCGGUGAAAUCUCGGGACGGCGGCUUGGUCGCUUGCGUCCGACUGCUGAAACUUGAUUAAACCAUNUNAUUUAUNGGAAGGUGAANUCGUANCA
RNAcentral lists this ribosomal RNA (320 nucleotides) under uncultured eukaryote. RNAcentral's name for it is "partial 18S ribosomal RNA". It matches the Rfam family "Eukaryotic small subunit ribosomal RNA", at positions 1470 to 1796 of the family's 1831-position model. The record is from RNAcentral.